GGGUAGAACUCUGGGCCUCACAUCGUCUCCCCCUGUCCCCCCUGCCCCUGCCCCACCUUGACACCUUCAGAGCCUGAUGUUAGCAGGUCCUACACACUCACUUCCAUUCUAUGGCCUCAGAAGGAGAAAGAAACGCUGCUGUGGAGAAAGAGCAUCCUUGAUAGAAAUAGCCCCUCUGAGAGCUCCUCACAUCCCUAUUCUGCAGCCGUCUCUGGGAAAUCAGUGAGCGUCCGUCCGUGGGAAGAGAGCACAGAUGCUCUGUCAGAGGUUAGAAGCAGUCGUCAACUUCAUCUCAAGACGGGGUCCGGGAGAUGGCCUGGCUGUACGGAAGGAACCGCCACUCUGUCCUGCCGCAGAAACGCCACUAAUAGGCACCAAAGGGGAAAGCACAAUGUUUGGAGUGUUCCUAUCACUUUCAUGCGGACUCACGCCACAGGCUGGAAGAGCUUCCGGCAGAAUGGAGGGCUGGGGAAAGCCUGUGAUAAAUCAGCUCUGCCUUUACUAGCCAGAGGUUGCUAUGGCAAUAGGAAUACACUGUAGGUUUUAAGAGAUGUAA
This is a non-coding RNA of Peromyscus maniculatus bairdii (prairie deer mouse), 556 nucleotides long. The record is from RefSeq and is a predicted model, not a curated record. NCBI's taxonomy places the organism in Eukaryota, Metazoa, Chordata, Mammalia, Rodentia, Cricetidae.